GGGGAUUUAGCUCGGCGGUAGAGCGCUUGCCUAGCAAGCACAAGGCCCUGGGUUCGGUCCCCAGCUCCG
This is a non-coding RNA of Rattus norvegicus (Norway rat), 69 nucleotides long. The record is from Rfam. NCBI's taxonomy places the organism in Eukaryota, Metazoa, Chordata, Mammalia, Rodentia, Muridae.